Non-coding RNA from Arachis ipaensis, 1025 nucleotides. The record is from RefSeq and is a predicted model, not a curated record. Lineage: Eukaryota; Viridiplantae; Streptophyta; Magnoliopsida; Fabales; Fabaceae.
CACACACACGUAACCCCCUCCCUUCACACUCGUUCACCCCCCAAUUAGCCACGUUACCCACUCCUUACCGCUAUUCACUCACCAUCACCAUUCCCUUUUUCCUUUUAUCCCCACCCACACCCACGCAACAAAAGAAAGAAAGAAAUCAGAAAGGGAAAGAAUGGAAACUGGGGGGGCUUGAGGGGAAAACAGAGAUCAGAGGGAGAGUGUGACGGAACAGAGGAAGGAGGAUCGCCGGGCUGUGCUGCUCCCUGCGCCGGUUGUCAUCGCUGCCGCGAGAGCUAGAGAAGGAGAGAAGUAAAAGCGCGAAGACAGAGAGAUCAACGGAGACGUUCACGCUGUUCGUCCUUGUCACUGCCAUGCGUUGCCGCCGCCGCCGUUAGUUCAGCUGCCGUCGAGCUCGCAUCAACCGUCGCCAUGGAAACUGCCACCAUCAUCUCCAAAGCCGCGUCAUCGAUUAGGUUAGGGAGAAGGAGAAUCGCGAGCAACCAGAGGAGGAGAAGAACGCGUGGUGGUGGGUGUUCUCUUAGCCAUCGCCACCACCGGAGUCACAAACCAAGGUGGAGGAGAAAGCCAUCUUCCCCGUUGCUGUUAUAGUCGUCCGUACUACUGCCGCUGAAGGAAGGCCGUUCAGUCACCCUCAUCAAGUUGCAUGUGGCUGUUAGAGCUCCUUGUCUCUGCUCUGAUCGUCGGAAGUCACCGACGAAGUUUUGGUCGCCUCAUUCCACUAUUCUUUUGAAUUCCGGUUGUGUAAAUGCCGCUGCAAAUUGUUCGAUGAUAUUGCUAUUGUGGAGAGUUGUUGGUGAGGCUAAUGCCACUGCUGUUGCUAAUCCGGUUUGAGGCUGUUGCUACUGCUGCGAGUUAGAACGAAGUUGGGGUCACGCCUAACUUUGUGGGUUUCGACUAACUAAGUGACAGGUUCAGAGACUCAGUUUGAAGUCGCGGGCGAUUAGGAGUUUUAUUUAAGUUUAUGUGUUGAGUUGCUUUUAUAGAAUUCCCUCGCCCUUGUUUUUUUUUUAUUUUAU